Long non-coding RNA from Oreochromis niloticus (Nile tilapia), 2332 nucleotides. RefSeq lists it as uncharacterized. The transcript is spliced from 2 exons. The record is from RefSeq and is a predicted model, not a curated record. Lineage: Eukaryota; Metazoa; Chordata; Actinopteri; Cichliformes; Cichlidae.
AUGAGGAAUGUUGUAUAGAGCGCUUUGAGUACUCCGGGAGAGUAGAAAAGCGCUAUAUAAGAAUCAGUCCAUUUACCAUUUCACAGAUUAAAAUACAGAGUUUUUAGUCACCUUAAAACCAACUACUUUUCACUGUGCUGUAUAUUGUGAAUGUGCCUUAGGCUAAAGUGAAGAGUUUUUCUAAGACCAUUGCAUGAGCUCAGGCUUUUCUGAAUGAAUCAUGUAAUAGUCACAGCUGUGUUUCACACACAAGAAUAUUAUGUCAUCUGUAACAUUGAGCAGACUGACAAAUGGUUCUAUAGCAAGUCAGGUCAUAGGCUUUAUUUGUACUGUAGAACUGUUUCGUUGUAGCCCAUUUUAUGUUGUACUUCAGUGUCUAUCAAUAGGUAAACUGUACUCUAUCAAACAUUUAAACUCUUACUUGAUAAGUCAUUGUUUCUCUCCAGAGUCUCUGUACUAAGUACUUUACUAUGUACUUUAGUACUUUAGGCUCCACUCUGACUAUCUAAGAAAAAAAUGAUGUUGGUGCAUGAGAUGGACAAGUUUUCAGUGUGGCUGUGAGUGAGGCCUGACAAAUUAUCUGAACAGAAGAUUAUAAAAUGUAAUGAAUAUAAGAUCAGGGUGUCUUUAGUCACGAGAAAAUUUUACAUUUCUAAAGUUAUAAGUAAACCUGGUCCUUACUUUACAUGAUAUUCAUUAAAACUUUCCUUAAACUAAACUUUACUACUGUAUUUUCACGACUAUAAGGCGCAUAUAAAAGUCAUAGAUUUUCUUCAAAAAGUGUGGCGCGCCCUAUAGUGCAGUGCGCCCUGUGUGUGUUGUAAGGAGGACGUAGUAGAGAACACCAUGAGAACGCUAAAAGGUGAAGUGUGGGCGUUGACUUUAUAUACAGUCGCACAUACAUACCUGUAUAAAAGAACAGGUAUGUGCAUUAUGCAGAACAUCGUUGUUUUAACAACCCUGAAAAUGGCAAAGAGACAUGCUUAUGAAGCACAGUUUAAACUGAAGGCCAUCAGCUACGUGGAGGAACAUGGAAAUCGAGCAGCCGCGAGAGAAUUUAAGAUUAAUGAAUCGAUGGUUCGCAAGUGGAGGAAGCUGGAAAACAAGCUCCGGCAGGUCAAGAAAACGCAGACAUAAGGCGAGGUGGCCCGAGUUGGAGGAAAGACUCGAGCAGUGGAUCAUCGAGCAAAGAACGAGUGGGAGAAGCGUUUCGACUGUCACCAUUCGGCUAAAAGCAGUUUCGCUAGCAGAAGAAAUGAAAAUUGAACAUUUCCAAGGAGGCCCGUCUUGGUGCUUUCGUUUCAUGAAACGGUGCCAUUUUUCCAUCCGGACCAGGACUACGGUAGCGCAGCAACUUCCAGCGGAUUAUAAUCAGGGUUCGUACAGGCGCUUGAAAUCCUUGAAAAUUCUAAUAUCGUCUUUUCAAGGUUUGAAAAGUGCUUGAAUUUCAGAUGUGGUGCUUAAAAGUGCUUGAAAAUGUAACUGUAUUUCCUUCACAAUAAAUAACUAUCUGUGAAUAUAUUUCUCUAUCUGAUAAGAAAACUAAUGAGUUGCAAAAUGUAAAAGCAAAAUUUCCCCGCCUGGGCUGCCUUGCGUCUGUGUCAAUAUGUGACCCGCCCCUCCCUCAGACAGUCGGGCAUGAGUGCACUAACAUACCUGUAGGUUGCUGUUUUAAUGAGUGUUUGAUGGAAAACAACAAUGGCGGAGUUUGCGUUCUCCAGUCGCAUGAUAGGUGAGUCCUAGUAAAUAAUUUUCCAGUACGCGUACGUUACACAUGCUAUUUUUUUUUAAAAUUAUGAUUAUUAUUUUGCUAGCUAUCAAACUCGCUGGAGAAAUGAUUGAAAUGCACUGAGUGUGAUGCAGUAUGGCAGCGCUAUUAUGGAAUAUGCUGUAAACUUAGCUAACAUUUACUUAGCAGUAAUAUGAGUUAAUUUACUCAAGUGAAAGCUUUAAACAUUAGCCCGAUACAUAACUAGCUAACUUAAGGCUUUCUGAUUAACCCUCUGGGGUCGACGGACCCAGAGUCUCCAUUUCAACUUGGGUCGAACGUGCGGACUUCAAACUAUAUACCAGUUUUUAAAUUGUGUUGAUAGGCCACGUAGAACCGAUUUUUUGCGGGGGGUUUCUGAGUAAAACAGUGGCGUUUACUCCGGGAAGAAACGGUAAAAACAGCGUUUUCUAAGGAGAGCGCUAGCAAACACGCUUUGCCUGUGAGUGAAAAAAGAAAAAACACUCCUUCCCUAUUGGUGGAAAAAUGUACCAUGUCGACCAAUCAAAAAUUGAUACGGCAACAUGUGGUAUUUGGUUGUUUGGGAAGAGAGGGGAAGUUUUA